RNAcentral lists this ribosomal RNA (433 nucleotides) under uncultured bacterium. RNAcentral describes it as "partial 16S ribosomal RNA". It matches the Rfam family "Bacterial small subunit ribosomal RNA", at positions 29 to 507 of the family's 1533-position model. The record is from RNAcentral.
AACGAACGCUGGCGGCAUGCCUAACACAUGCAAGUCGAACGAGACCUUCGGGUCUAGUGGCGCACGGGUUCGUAACGCGUGGGAACCUUCCCUUAGGGUCGGAAUAACUCCCCGAAAGGGGUGCUAAUACCGGAUAAUGUCUUCGGACCAAAGAUUUAUCGCCCUUGGAUGGGCCCGCGUUGGAUUAGCUAGUUGUUAGGGUAAAAGCCUACCAAGGCGACGAUCCAUAGCUGGUCUGAGAGGAUGAUCAGCCACACUGGGACUGAGACACGGCCCAGACUCCUACGGGAGGCAGGAGUGGGGAAUAUUGGAAAAUGGGCGAAAGCCUGAUGCAGCAAUGCCGCGUGAGUGAUGAAGGCAUUAGGGUUGUAAAGCUCUUUUACCCGGGAUGAUAAUGACAGUACCGGGAGAAUAAGCUCCGGCUAACUCCGUG